GCGUGAGUGAAGAAGGCCCUAGGGUUGUAAAACUCUUUCACUAGUGAAGAUGAUGACUGUAACUAGAGAAGAAGCUCCGGCUAACUUCGUGCCAGCAGCCGCGGUAAUACGAAGGGAGCUAGCGUUGUUCGGAAUUACUGGGCGUAAAGAGCAUGUAGGCGGACUAGAUAGUCAGAGGUGAAAGCCCCGAGCUCAACUUGGGAACUGCCUUUGAUACUCCUAGUCUAGAGUCCGAAAGAGGGUAGUGGAAUUCCAAGUGUAGAGGUGAAAUUCGU
Molecule: ribosomal RNA, 275 nt
Filed under: uncultured bacterium
Lineage: Bacteria
Description: partial 16S ribosomal RNA
Rfam family: Bacterial small subunit ribosomal RNA
Source: RNAcentral